RNAcentral lists this ribosomal RNA (460 nucleotides) under uncultured bacterium. RNAcentral's name for it is "partial 16S ribosomal RNA". It matches the Rfam family "Bacterial small subunit ribosomal RNA", at positions 338 to 795 of the family's 1533-position model. The record is from RNAcentral.
CCUACGGGGGACAGCAGUGAGGAAUAUUGGUCAAUGGGCGCGAGCCUGAACCAGCCAAGUCGCGUGAGGGAGGACGGCCCUACGGGUUGUAAACCUCUUUUGCCGGGGAGCAACGGGCGUCACGUGUGGCGCCACUGAGAGUACCCGGAGAAAAAGCAUCGGCUAACUCCGUGCCAGCAGCCGCGGUAAUACGGGGGAUGCGAGCGUUAUCCGGAUUUAUUGGGUUUAAAGGGUGCGUAGGCGGAUCGUUAAGUCAUUGGUCAAAUUGAGGGGCUCAACCCAGUCCCGCCAUUGAAACUGGCGUUCUUGAGUGGAAGAGAAGUAUGCGGAAUGCGUGGUGUAGCGGUGAAAUGCAUAGAUAUCACGCAGAACCCCGAUUGCGAAGGCAGCAUGCCGGCUUCCGACUGACGCUGAAGCACGAAAGCGUGGGGAUCGAACAGGAUUAGAUACCCGGGUAGUC